Molecule: ribosomal RNA, 495 nt
Filed under: uncultured bacterium
Lineage: Bacteria
Description: partial 16S ribosomal RNA
Rfam family: Bacterial small subunit ribosomal RNA
Source: RNAcentral
GAUGAACGCUGGCGGCGUGCCUAAUACAUGCAAGUCGAGCGAACAGAUGAGGAGCUUGCUCCUCUGACGUUAACGGCGGACGGGUGAGUAACACGUGGAUAACCUACCUAUAAGACUGGGAUAACUUCGGGAAACCGGAGCUAAUACCGGAUAAUAUAUUGAACCGCAUGGUUCAAUAGUGAAAGACGGUUUUGCUGUCACUUAUAGAUGGAUCCGCGCCGCAUUAGCUAGUUGGUAAGGUAACGGCUUACCAAGGCAACGAUGCGUAGCCGACCUGAGAGGGUGAUCGGCCACACUGGAACUGAGACACGGUCCAGACUCCUACGGGAGGCAGCAGUAGGGAAUCUUCCGCAAUGGGCGAAAGCCUGACGGAGCAACGCCGCGUGAGUGAUGAAGGUCUUCGGAUCGUAAAACUCUGUUAUUAGGGAAGAACAAAUGUGUAAGUAACUAUGCACGUCUUGACGGUACCUAAUCAGAAAGCCACGGCUAACUACG